RNAcentral lists this ribosomal RNA (1305 nucleotides) under Staphylococcus aureus. RNAcentral describes it as "partial 23S ribosomal RNA". It matches the Rfam family "Bacterial large subunit ribosomal RNA", at positions 1620 to 2925 of the family's 2925-position model. The record is from RNAcentral. Lineage: Bacteria; Bacillati; Bacillota; Bacilli; Caryophanales; Staphylococcaceae.
CCUCUAGAUAGAAAAUAGGUGCCCGUACCGCAAACCGACACAGGUAGUCAAGAUGAGAAUUCUAAGGUGAGCGAGCGAACUCUCGUUAAGGAACUCGGCAAAAUGACCCCGUAACUUCGGGAGAAGGGGUGCUCUUUAGGGUUAACGCCCAGAAGAGCCGCAGUGAAUAGGCCCAAGCGACUGUUUAUCAAAAACACAGGUCUCUGCUAAACCGUAAGGUGAUGUAUAGGGGCUGACGCCUGCCCGGUGCUGGAAGGUUAAGAGGAGUGGUUAGCUUCUGCGAAGCUACGAAUCGAAGCCCCAGUAAACGGCGGCCGUAACUAUAACGGUCCUAAGGUAGCGAAAUUCCUUGUCGGGUAAGUUCCGACCCGCACGAAAGGCGUAACGAUUUGGGCACUGUCUCAACGAGAGACUCGGUGAAAUCAUAGUACCUGUGAAGAUGCAGGUUACCCGCGACAGGACGGAAAGACCCCGUGGAGCUUUACUGUAGCCUGAUAUUGAAAUUCGGCACAGCUUGUACAGGAUAGGUAGGAGCCUUUGAAACGUGAGCGCUAGCUUACGUGGAGGCGCUGGUGGGAUACUACCCUAGCUGUGUUGGCUUUCUAACCCGCACCACUUAUCGUGGUGGGAGACAGUGUCAGGCGGGCAGUUUGACUGGGGCGGUCGCCUCCUAAAAGGUAACGGAGGCGCUCAAAGGUUCCCUCAGAAUGGUUGGAAAUCAUUCAUAGAGUGUAAAGGCAUAAGGGAGCUUGACUGCGAGACCUACAAGUCGAGCAGGGUCGAAAGACGGACUUAGUGAUCCGGUGGUUCCGCAUGGAAGGGCCAUCGCUCAACGGAUAAAAGCUACCCCGGGGAUAACAGGCUUAUCUCCCCCAAGAGUUCACAUCGACGGGGAGGUUUGGCACCUCGAUGUCGGCUCAUCGCAUCCUGGGGCUGUAGUCGGUCCCAAGGGUUGGGCUGUUCGCCCAUUAAAGCGGUACGCGAGCUGGGUUCAGAACGUCGUGAGACAGUUCGGUCCCUAUCCGUCGUGGGCGUAGGAAAUUUGAGAGGAGCUGUCCUUAGUACGAGAGGACCGGGAUGGACAUACCUCUGGUGUACCAGUUGUCGUGCCAACGGCAUAGCUGGGUAGCUAUGUGUGGACGGGAUAAGUGCUGAAAGCAUCUAAGCAUGAAGCCCCCCUCAAGAUGAGAUUUCCCAACUUCGGUUAUAAGAUCCCUCAAAGAUGAUGAGGUUAAUAGGUUCGAGGUGGAAGCAUGGUGACAUGUGGAGCUGACGAAUACUAAUCGAUCGAAGACUUAAUCAAAA